This 63-nucleotide transfer RNA is filed under the name Vesperus conicicollis. Its description in RNAcentral is "tRNA-Leu". The record is from RNAcentral. Lineage: Eukaryota; Metazoa; Arthropoda; Insecta; Coleoptera; Cerambycidae. RNAcentral also lists the same sequence under 1 other name.
GUUAUUUUGGCAGAUUAGUGCGUUAGAUUUAGAAUCUUUUUAUGUAAGUUUUUACAGAUAAUA